This 789-nucleotide long non-coding RNA is filed under the name Nicotiana benthamiana. RNAcentral describes it as "long non-coding RNA (NBEN_LNC037658)". The record is from RNAcentral. Lineage: Eukaryota; Viridiplantae; Streptophyta; Magnoliopsida; Solanales; Solanaceae.
CUCUAAAAGUAAGAAGACAACUGAAGUCAGGUAGACAUGUCCAUCCUUUGCAUGCAUGUAGAGUGAUUCCGGGGAUGUGAAGCCUUCUGCUUCGGCAAACACACUUCGCUUCCAUGCUAGCUCUCCAAUAAGGAAGGCUAAAAUGCCAGGAGAAACCAGAUGUGAGCGAUUCAAAGCAAGGCUCAUCAUACAUGUAACCCUACUUAUCGGUGGAAGAAUUGCUCCGCCGCUUGAAUGAAGUUGAAGUAGCCGUUUCCAGGCAAUUCGAGCAUGGUGUGACACUGUCUCACUUGUUAGGAACAAACAGCUCGAUUUAGAAUUGUAUGCCUUCCAUAAGGUUCCUUUUGCUUCAUAUAAAACGCUGGAGGUAAAUCCUCUAUGACAAACUCUACAUUGUGAAUGAAAUCUGGAAAAGAUGUAAGAAAGUCCGGCAGGGCAAGACGUCCAAACCUCUGAGUAGCUGGCCUUUGGGCUGGCAAGAAAGGAAUGAGCAACCCUUUUAACGCUGCCCUUUACCAAAAUUCUGCACCUGACAAAACAAAACACAUACUAUAACCAGUGGCGGACGCAUGUGGAAGCAAACGGGUUCAACUGAACCCGCUUCAUCAAAAGCAAACACACUUCGUUUCCAUGCUAGCUCUCCAAUAAGGAAGGCCAAAAUGCCAGGAGAUACCAGAUGUGAGCGAGACAAAGCAAGGCUCAUCAUACACGUAACCCUACUUAUCGGUGGCAGAAUUGCUCCGCCGCUUGAAUGAAUUUGAAGUAGCCGUUUCCAGGCAAUUCGAGCAU